This 107-nucleotide small nuclear RNA is filed under the name Neogale vison (American mink). The record is from RNAcentral. Lineage: Eukaryota; Metazoa; Chordata; Mammalia; Carnivora; Mustelidae.
GUGCUCCCUUCAGCAGCACAUAAACUAAAAUUGGAAUGAUACAGAGAAGAUUAGCAUGGCUCCUGCGCAAGGAUGACACGCAAAUUCGUGGAGUGUUCCAUAGUUUU